UUCACUAGCUUGCUAGAAGAUGACGAGCGGCGGACGGGUGAGUAAUGCUUGGGAACAUGCCUUGAGGUGGGGGACAACCAUUGGAAACGAUGGCUAAUACCGCAUAAUGUCUACGGACCAAAGGGGGCUUCGGCUCUCGCCUUUAGAUUGGCCCAAGUGGGAUUAGCUAGUUGGUGAGGUAAAGGCUCACCAAGGCGACGAUCCCUAGCUGGUUUGAGAGGAUGAUCAGCCACACUGGAACUGAGACACGGUCCAGACUCCUACGGGAGGCAGCAGUGGGGAAUAUUGCACAAUGGGCGCAAGCCUGAUGCAGCCAUGCCGCGUGUGUGAAGAAGGCCUUCGGGUUGUAAAGCACUUUCAGUCAGGAGGAAAGGUUAGUAGUUAAUACCUGCUAGCUGUGACGUUACUGACAGAAGAAGCACCGGCUAACUCCGUGCCAGCAGCCGCGGUAAUACGGAGGGUGCGAGCGUUAAUCGGAAUUACUGGGCGUAAAGCGUACGCAGGCGGUUUGUUAAGCGAGAUGUGAAAGCCCCGGGCUUAACCUGGGAACUGCAUUUCGAACUGGCAAACUAGAGUGUGAUAGAGGGUGGUAGAAUU
This 597-nucleotide ribosomal RNA is filed under the name Pseudoalteromonas maricaloris. Its description in RNAcentral is "bacterial SSU rRNA". It matches the Rfam family "Bacterial small subunit ribosomal RNA", at positions 71 to 668 of the family's 1533-position model. The record is from RNAcentral. Lineage: Bacteria; Pseudomonadati; Pseudomonadota; Gammaproteobacteria; Alteromonadales; Pseudoalteromonadaceae.